Vitis vinifera (wine grape) is the source of this 753-nucleotide long non-coding RNA. RefSeq lists it as uncharacterized. The transcript has 3 exons. The record is from RefSeq and is a predicted model, not a curated record. NCBI's taxonomy places the organism in Eukaryota, Viridiplantae, Streptophyta, Magnoliopsida, Vitales, Vitaceae.
UUCUUAAAUAAUUGGUAUUUGAUUAGUUUGAGUACUUUGUUUUAUGGUAAUUAAGAAUUCACAUUCUUGUUCUAAUUCUUGUUGGAAGUUUCCAAGGGCCAAAUUUAAAUGAUUUUAUUGUAUGUUACUUAUUGCUAAUAUAGUUGAAUUUAUUCCAGUUGGAAUUUUGUAGUGAGGACAUCAAUUCCAAAUUGUCUUGAGAUACCGAAUACUCUUCAUGUUCGACAUGUUUCCGAAGACAACUUAUUGCACAUGGGAGGUGACAAAGAUCUUUGUGGAAGAUUUUGGAACUAUCUUAUAAUAGGGUUGGAUGCUCAAGAAUUGUUUGAUGCUUCUCACUUUAAAUCUUGGCCAAGGUAACUUUUUUAGGCAUAAUUUCUAUCAUUGUGAUAUUAUUAUAUUACUAUUUUUAAUUAAUUCUCUAUGCUUUGUAAUAAUUUUCCGAUUUAGUGUAAUAAUCAAGGGGUAGAUGUUUACUAUUUGGAAUGCUUUGUGAUACAUUAUUAACUUGCUAAUUAAUUUGGAUGGAAUGAUAGUAAAAGGUAAGAACGCUUUUAUUUUCUAUAAAGACUAUACCACAACUUGAACUUCUAAAGUUAGUGGAAAAUGAACUAAAAACAUGUGAAUCAAUGAUCGUAUGUGUUGCCAACAAUUAUUUUAUCAUUAAUAUAGACUAACACUAUGAAAUAUUAGUAAGAUAUAAAUAUAUAAUACAAUACCCUUGAAUUUUGUGAGUUCAACUAAAACUUGAGA